AUUGAACGCUGGCGGCAGGCCUAACACAUGCAAGUCGAACGGUAACAGGAAGAAGCUUGCUUCUUUGCUGACGAGUGGCGGACGGGUGAGUAAUGUCUGGGAAACUGCCUGAUGGAGGGGGAUAACUACUGGAAACGGUAGCUAAUAUCGCAUAACGUCGCAAGACCAAAGAGGGGGACCUUCGGGCCUCUUGCCAUCGGAUGUGCCCAGAUGGGAUUAGCUAGUAGGUGGGGUAACGGCUCACCUAGGCGACGAUCCCUAGCUGGUCUGAGAGGAUGACCAGCCACACUGGAACUGAGACACGGUCCAGACUCCUACGGGAGGCAGCAGUGGGGAAUAUUGCACAAUGGGCGCAAGCCUGAUGCAGCCAUGCCGCGUGUAUGAAGAAGGCCUUCGGGUUGUAAAGUACUUUCAGCGGGGAGGAAGGGAGUAAAGUUAAUACCUUUGCUCAUUGACGUUACCCGCAGAAGAAGCACCGGCUAACUCCGUG
RNAcentral lists this ribosomal RNA (490 nucleotides) under uncultured bacterium. RNAcentral's name for it is "partial 16S ribosomal RNA". It matches the Rfam family "Bacterial small subunit ribosomal RNA", at positions 30 to 507 of the family's 1533-position model. The record is from RNAcentral.